CCUACGGUGUGCAGCAGUGGGGAAUAUUGCACAAUGGGGGAAACCCUGAUGCAGCGACGCCGCGUGAGUGAAGAAGUAAUUCGUUACGUAAAGCUCUAUCAGCAGGGAAGAAAUACUGACCUUACGGUCAGCAGACGGUACCUGAGUAAGAAGCCCCGGCUAACUACGUGCCAGCAGGCGCGGUAAUACGUAGGGGGAAAGCGUUAACCGGAUUUACUGGGUGUAAAGGGAGCGUAGACGGUGCGCGAAGUCUGGAGUGAAAUGCCGGAGAUUAACUGCGGAACUGCUUUGGAAACUGGCGAACUAGAGUGCGGGAGGGGUAAGCGGAAUUCGUGGUGUAGCGGUGAAAUGCGUAGAUAUUAGGAGGAACACCGGUGGCGAAGGCGGCUUACUGGACCGUAACUGACGUUGAGGCUCGAAAGCGUGGGAGCAAACAGGAUUAGAUACCCCUGUAGUC
RNAcentral lists this ribosomal RNA (457 nucleotides) under uncultured bacterium. RNAcentral describes it as "partial 16S ribosomal RNA". It matches the Rfam family "Bacterial small subunit ribosomal RNA", at positions 338 to 795 of the family's 1533-position model. The record is from RNAcentral.